This 1280-nucleotide ribosomal RNA is filed under the name Cucujus mniszechi. RNAcentral describes it as "16S ribosomal RNA". The stretch from base 1038 to 1196 matches the Rfam family "Archaeal large subunit ribosomal RNA", at positions 2542 to 2701 of the family's 2987-position model. Lineage: Eukaryota; Metazoa; Arthropoda; Insecta; Coleoptera; Cucujidae. The record is from RNAcentral.
AUAUAAAUUAUUAUUAUUAAGAUUUAAAGUUAGAUUUUAUUUAAAAUAAAUAAUUUUGAGUUUUAUUAUUAUUUAAGAAAAAAGGGUUAUUAUUAUAGUUAAUUAGUAUUGUGAAAGAAAUUUUUUAUAUUUAAGAAGAAAAUUUUAGUAAUUGUACCUUGUGUAUCAGGGUUGAUUAAUUAUUGAUUAAAAAUUUAAUGGUUUCGAAUUUAGAAGAGUUAAUAGUUUAUUUAUUUUAUUGUAGAAUAAAUAUUUAUAAUAAAUUAUUAGUAAUGAAAUGUUAUUCGUUUUUGAAUAUAUCUAGUUUUUAAAGAAAUUAAUUUAAUUGAGUUUUUAUGUAAUAUUAAGUUUAAUACUAAGUUUAAUAUUUUUAAGAGGUUAUAUUUUUAGGGAUAAGCUUAAAGAUAGAGUUUUAUAAAUUUAUGGGUUUUGUAUAAAGUGUAGGAUUAAAAUUUUUCAUUAUUAAUAAAAUGUUAUAAUUAAUUAUAUGUUGGUAUGAUUUAUAUAAAUUUUAAAUUUUUUAUUUAAAUUUUAGUUUAAAUUUUAAAAAUUAAGUAAUAAUGAUUAAAUUAGUAUAAUAAUUUGUAAGUUUAAAUUGAUAAAUUAGUUUAAUUGAAGGAAUUCGGCAAAGGGUUUUCCACCUGUUUAUUAAAAACAUGGCCUAUAGAAAAUAAUUUUAGGUCUGACCUGCCCACUGAAAAUUUGAAUGGCCGCGGUAUUUUGACCGUGCAAAGGUAGCAUAAUCAUUAGUUUUUUAAUUGAAAGCUGGAAUGAAGGGUUGAAUGAGAAAAUUUCUGUCUUUAAUUUAAUUAUAGAAUUUUAUUUUUAAGUUAAAAAGCUUAAAUAUUUUUAAAAGACGAGAAGACCCUUUAGAGUUUAAUAUUUAUUGUUUAUUUAUUUUUUGGUAUUUAAAUUUAAUUUAAUAAUAAAUAUUUGAUUGGGGUGAUUGAAAAAUUAAAUUAACUUUUUUUUUAUUGAAACAAUAAUUUUUGAGUUUUUGAUCCAUUAAAAUGAUUAUAAGAAAAAAUUACCUAAGGGAUAACAGCGUAAUUUUUUUAGAGAGUUCUUAUCGAAAAAAAAGUUUGCGACCUCGAUGUUGGAUUAAAAUUUAAAUUUGGUGUAGAAGCUGAAUUUUUUAGUCUGUUCGACUAUUGAAAUUUUACAUGAUCUGAGUUUAAACCGGUGUGAGCCAGGUUGGUUUCUAUCUUUAAAUAAAAUAAGUGUUUUAGUACGAAAGGACCAAACAUUUAAUUAAAAAUUUUUUAAGGUUGAAUUAUAAU